UACGAAGGGGGCUAGCGUUGCUCCGGAAUCACUGGGCGUAAAGGGUGCGUAGGCGGGUCUUUAAGUCAGGGGUGAAAUCCUGGAGCUCAACUCCAGAACUGCCUUUGAUACUGAGGAUCUUGAGUUCGGGAGAGGUGAGUGGAACUGCGAGUGUAGAGGUGAAAUUCGUAGAUAUUCGCAAGAACACCAGUGGCGAAGGCGGCUCACUGGCCCGAUACUGACGCUGAGGCACGAAAGCGUGGGAGCAAACAGG
Molecule: ribosomal RNA, 253 nt
Filed under: uncultured bacterium
Lineage: Bacteria
Description: partial 16S ribosomal RNA
Rfam family: Bacterial small subunit ribosomal RNA
Source: RNAcentral